Molecule: RNA transcript, 2411 nt
Organism: Neltuma alba
Lineage: Eukaryota; Viridiplantae; Streptophyta; Magnoliopsida; Fabales; Fabaceae
Gene name: heterogeneous nuclear ribonucleoprotein 1
Exons: 5
Source: RefSeq, a predicted model, not a curated record
CUUCACAUAGCUUCUGUUCUCUCCGCAGUCUGUAUAUAUAUAGAUUUUUUAUUUUUAUUUUUUUCCCAAUCGGUUUGGUAACUGAAUUUGCAUUCGGUAAUCUAAUUAAACACAACUGGAAGACGAAGAAAAGGGUGGGGAGGCAUAGAUAGAUAAUGAACUUGUCCUCUGCUCUUAUUCUUAUUGUGCCUCCCCUCAGAUCUUAGUUUUCUCCCAGAUUUGGCAUCCUGGUCGUCUUGAAUCGAUAAAAUGCAAUCGGAUAAUGGCAAGUUAUUUAUUGGGGGGAUAUCAUGGGACACAAAUGAAGAGCGACUUAGGGAGUACUUCAGCUCCUAUGGGGAGGUUGUGGAAGCAGUGAUAAUGAAGGAUCGGACAACUGGUAGAGCUCGUGGAUUUGGUUUUGUAGUUUUUGCUGACCCAGCUGUUGCAGAUAGAGUCAUAAAAGAGAAGCACAACAUUGAUGGAAGGAUGGUUGAGGCAAAGAAGGCUGUUCCUAGAGAUGACCAGAACAUACUGAACAGAAACAGUAGUAGCAUCCAUGGUUCUCCUGGUCCAGGCCGCACAAGAAAGAUAUUUGUAGGAGGUUUAGCAUCAACAGUCACAGAGAGUGAUUUCAAGAAGUACUUCGAUCAAUUUGGGACAAUAACGGAUGUUGUAGUGAUGUAUGAUCACAACACUCAGAGGCCAAGAGGCUUUGGAUUUAUCACUUAUGAUUCUGAAGAAGCUGUUGAAAAGGUCUUGCUUAAGACUUUUCAUGAACUGAAUGGUAAAAUGGUUGAGGUCAAGCGGGCGGUUCCUAAGGAGUUAUCACCAGGACCAAACCGCAGCCCACUUAGUGGAUAUAAUUAUGGUAUGGGUAGGGUCAGUAGUUUCCUAAAUGGCUUCACUCAGGGGUAUACUCCAGGUGCUGUUGGAGGCUACGGACUGAGGAUGGAUAGUAGAUUCAGUCCUGUUGCAAGUGGUCGAAGUGGAUUUGCUCCGUUUGGAUCUGGUUAUGGAAUGAGUAUGAAUUUUGAGCCUGGCUUGAACCCUGGAUUUGGAGGGAAUGCAAACUUCAAUAGCAAUCUUAGCUAUGCUCGGGGAUUAAAUCCUUACUAUGUUGGCAGCUCAAAUAGGUUUGGGAGUCCUAUUGGGUAUGAUGGUGGCAAUGGAGGAAACAAUUCUUUCUUCAGCUCUGUGACUCGAAACUUGUGGGGGGCUGGUGGUCUUAAUUAUGGAACGGGCUCUGCAAAUUCCAAUAAUGCGUACAUGGGAUCAGGAACUGGUAAUGCUGGAGGAAACUCAUAUGGGACUGGAGUGAAUUGGGGUUCAUCAGGAGUUUCCAGUCAAGCUGGUUUGAACAAUAUGUCUCAGAGUAGUGGUAAUCUUCGCUACGGAGGUGCUGACAGUAAUUAUGGUUUGGGGGGUGGAGGGUAUGGCGGAAGCGGUGGUGGCAGUAUUGCCCCAACAUCAUCAUACUCCUCAUCAAAUGGUGUUUUUGAUGGGGCCUUUACUGAUUUCUACAAUAGCAGUUCAGUUUAUGGGGAUCCCACUUGGCGAUCUUCAAAUUCUGAGCGAGAUGGGUCUGUUCCCUUUGGUUAUGGUCUCGGCAGCGCAGCUUCAGAUGUUUCUGCCAAAAGCUCUCCUGGUUAUGUUGGUGGUUACACUGUUAAUAAGAGACAGUCAAAUAGAGGUUUGUGACUUGGACGAGAGAGAGAAGGGGAGGGAAGGGAGACGAAGAGGGAGAAUUGAGAGGGAAUUAAGUGAGAAGACGGAGAAAGUUGAGAGAAACUGAGGAACAGAGACUGGAAUUGCUACAUAGGAAGAUCAUUUUGAAGACACGUACGAAACUGUAGGUGAAGAAGAAACAGUGAAGCAGGUGAAUUCUGAAGUAUACGGAUCACUGGUAUUAGUUUGUUUCGUUAAAGAUACAAGAUGUUUGGUUAUGUAGGCUAACAGGAGUGCCUAUUUUGAGGAUCAGAGAUAUAGGGAUAGAAGUUACAAAGGGAAUGUCAAGGCUUGAGUUUUGAGUUUCUGUUAGAUUUUUCAGUUUUUGGGAUUUGAGUGAGAUGUAAAAUCAGAUUGCGGGAUAUAGUGGAAGUGUAUCAUGCAUUCACAUGUGAGGCAGCAAUAUAAGAAUGAUCCACAGCAUCUCUUCCUUUUUCUUUCUUUCUUUUUGUUUUGUUUCCCCCUUUCGUUGGUUAGAUUUUCAACUGUAAUGUCUCGCAAAGUUGUGGGUUCUUCUGAUCAGGAAUUGGUUGUUUCUUACUCCGCAUCAUUUUUGUUUUGGUUUUUUGUCAGCAGAUUGUACCAAGGUUUAUGUUGAGUACUAGUGUGAAAACCUUAAAGGGAUACCAGCUGGGGUCCCCAUGAAUAAGUUACAAAUAUAUUCUUAUUCUUUUUGUGAAGGGGAAUAUUUUAUGCCCCAAGUA